GUGCCAGCCGCCGCGGUAAAACGUAGGAGACAAACGUUAUCCGGAGUUACUGGGCGUAAAGGGCGUGUAGGCGGUUUGUUAAGUCUGGCGUGAAAGCUCUCGGCUAAACCGGGAGAGGUCGUUGGAUACUGGCAAACUAGAGGACGGUAGAGGCGUGUGGAAUUCCGGGUGUAGUGGUGAAAUGCGUAGAGAUCCGGAGGAACACCAGUGGCGAAGGCGACACGCUGGGCCGUACCUGACGCUAAAGCGCGACAGCAUGGGGAGCAAACAGGAUUAGAUACCCUGGUAGUCC
This 292-nucleotide ribosomal RNA is filed under the name uncultured bacterium. RNAcentral describes it as "partial 16S ribosomal RNA". It matches the Rfam family "Bacterial small subunit ribosomal RNA", at positions 505 to 796 of the family's 1533-position model. The record is from RNAcentral.